AUAUAAAACAAAAAAAAAAUUGAUUUUUCUUAUACUUCUCUCUCGCGACUUGGUGAGGUACGAUCGGAGACCAGCAAUUCGGAUCCUUUCCUUCACCAAUUCGGAGACGGUCCCAUGGGUUCUUUGAUUUUGCGAAAAUUAAACCAUGGGUCAUACUCUCGGCCUCACAAGGUUUGUUUUUGCUUUACUCUGACUGAUAUGAGAUGGGUUUUGUAUCGAUUUCAAUGAUCCGUAGAUUAGCUUUGUUCCUUUGAUCAAUCGAGUUCAAAGUUUUGAUUUUUUUUCUUUUUUUUGAUGACGAGUUCGGGUCUUGGAGCAAAGCGAAUCGCUUUGAUCGGUCUUGGACACUCUGUUCCAUCAGCUGGUGUUGCUAUGAUGAAGGAAAGCGUACUGCAGAAACCUUGGCCAUGGAUUAUCACAGAGGGGCUGGUGUUGAGGUUAGAAUUGCUCGUAUUUUUAACACGUAUGGACCCAGAAUGUGCCUUGAUGAUGGGCGUGUUGUUAGUAACUUCGUUGCCUAGGUUUAGCUCUUUCAUCAGCCACGCAGGUAGCAUACGUCCAGUGAACGCCACUAGCCCUUACUCCAAGUGCAGUUGCAACUCCAAUUCUUCUGACCAAAUCUGCGUCUGUAAGAUCUUGAAAUGUCAACAAAAUGUCUAAAACCUCCGUUACAUACAAAAAUCUCUCUGUCUCUCUACCCUCUUUUGCAGAAGAUAGAAAUUAAAGUUUGGUCAAAAUGAA
Non-coding RNA from Camelina sativa (false flax), 741 nucleotides. The record is from RefSeq and is a predicted model, not a curated record. Lineage: Eukaryota; Viridiplantae; Streptophyta; Magnoliopsida; Brassicales; Brassicaceae.